RNAcentral lists this ribosomal RNA (315 nucleotides) under uncultured eukaryote. RNAcentral describes it as "partial 18S ribosomal RNA". It matches the Rfam family "Eukaryotic small subunit ribosomal RNA", at positions 1470 to 1796 of the family's 1831-position model. The record is from RNAcentral.
CCCUUAGACGUUCUGGGCCGCACGCGCGCUACACUGACCAGUGCAACAAGCAUCCGUCCUUGGCCGACAGGCUCGGGCAAUCUUUGAACGCUGGUCGUGAUGGGGAUAGACUUUUGCAAUUUUUGGUCUUCAACAAGGAAUUCCUAGUAAACGCAAGUCAUCAACUUGCAUUGAUUACGUCCCUGCCCUUUGUACACACCGCCCGUCGCACCUACCGAUUGAAUGGUCCGGUGAAGCCUCCGGAUUGGCGCGCACCUCGGUGCCGCCGAGAAGUUGGCUAAACCUUACCAUUUAGAGGAAGGUGAAGUCGUAACA